RNAcentral lists this non-coding RNA (23 nucleotides) under Cricetulus griseus (Chinese hamster). Lineage: Eukaryota; Metazoa; Chordata; Mammalia; Rodentia; Cricetidae. The record is from RNAcentral.
AGUAGGAUUACACAAUGCACCAG